Molecule: microRNA precursor, 72 nt
Filed under: Drosophila persimilis
Lineage: Eukaryota; Metazoa; Arthropoda; Insecta; Diptera; Drosophilidae
Also listed under: 1 other name
Description: mir-375 microRNA precursor family
Rfam family: mir-375 microRNA precursor family
Source: Rfam by way of RNAcentral
AAUUACUUGGGCCAGGGGAAUGCAAACUGUGAUCGCAAUGCAAAAAGUUUGUUCGUUUGGCUUAAGUUAUUU